CGAUUAGAAAAGGUAGCUUCGGCCUCUGGCUGAGGAGGAGCCCGCGGCGGAUUAGCUUGUUGGUGGGGUAACGGCCUACCAAGGCUACGAUCCGUAGCUGGUCUGAGAGGACGAUCAGCCACACUGGGACUGAGACACGGCCCAGACUCCUACGGGAGGCAGCAGUGGGGAAUCUUGCGCAAUGGGCGAAAGCCUGACGCAGCGACGCCGCGUGCGGGAAGAAGGCCUUCGGGUUGUAAACCGCUUUCAGGAGGGACGAAGCCACUCGGGUUAAUAGCCCAGAGGGUGACGGUACUUCCAGAAGAAGCCCCGGCUAACUACGUGCCAGCAGCCGCGGUAAUACGUAGGGGGGCAAGCGUUGUCCGGAUUUAUUGGGCGUAAAGCGCGUGUAGGCGGCCAGUUAGGUCCGUUGUGAAAACUCGAGGCUCAACCUCGAGACGUCGACGGAAACCAUCUGGCUAGAGUCCGGAAGAGGAGAGUGGAAUUCCUGGUGUAGCGGUGAAAUGCGCAGAUAUCAGGAAGAACACCCGUGGCGAAGGCGGCUCUCUGGGACGGUACUGACGCUGAGACGCGAAAGCGUGGGGGAGCGAACAGGAUUAGAUACCCUGGUAGUCCACGCCGUAAACGAUGGGUGCUAGGUGUGGGCGGUGUCGACUCCGUCCGUGCCGAAGCUAACGCAUUA
This 682-nucleotide ribosomal RNA is filed under the name uncultured bacterium. RNAcentral's name for it is "bacterial SSU rRNA". It matches the Rfam family "Bacterial small subunit ribosomal RNA", at positions 196 to 862 of the family's 1533-position model. The record is from RNAcentral.